Molecule: ribosomal RNA, 448 nt
Filed under: uncultured bacterium
Lineage: Bacteria
Description: bacterial SSU rRNA
Rfam family: Bacterial small subunit ribosomal RNA
Source: RNAcentral
AACGAACGCUGGCGGCAUGCCUAACACAUGCAAGUCGAACGCCCCGCAAGGGGAGUGGCGCACGGGUGAGUAACGCGUGGGAACCUGCCCUGGAGUGGGGGAUAACCGAUGGAAACGUCGGCUAAUACCGCAUACGACCUGAGGGUGAAAGAUUCAUCGCUCUAGGAGGGGCCCGCGUCAGAUUAGCUAGUUGGUGGGGUAACGGCCUACCAAGGCGAUGAUCUGUAGCUGGUCUGAGAGGAUGAUCAGCCACACUGGGACUGAGACACGGCCCAGACUCCUACGGGAGGCAGCAGUGGGGAAUAUUGGACAAUGGGGGCAACCCUGAUCCAGCAAUGCCGCGUGAGUGAUGAAGGCCUUAGGGUUGUAAAGCUCUUUCACCCACGACGAUGAUGACGGUAGUGGGAGAAGAAGCCCCGGCUAACUUCGUGCCAGCAGCCGCGGUAAU